ACUGCUUUGGCAGAUAAGUGCGGUGGAUUUAGAAUCCACAUAUGUAAAUAUUUAUUUACAGGUAGUA
Molecule: transfer RNA, 67 nt
Filed under: Mastotermes darwiniensis (giant northern termite)
Lineage: Eukaryota; Metazoa; Arthropoda; Insecta; Blattodea; Mastotermitidae
Description: tRNA-Leu
Source: RNAcentral